AAUACCGCAUACGUCCUACGGGAGAAAGCAGGGGACCUUCGGGCCUUGCGCUAUCAGAUGAGCCUAGGUCGGAUUAGCUAGUUGGUGAGGUAAUGGCUCACCAAGGCUACGAUCCGUAACUGGUCUGAGAGGAUGAUCAGUCACACUGGAACUGAGACACGGUCCAGACUCCUACGGGAGGCAGCAGUGGGGAAUAUUGGACAAUGGGCGAAAGCCUGAUCCAGCCAAGGCGCGUGUGUGAAGAAGGUCUUCGGA
RNAcentral lists this ribosomal RNA (255 nucleotides) under uncultured bacterium. RNAcentral describes it as "partial 16S ribosomal RNA". It matches the Rfam family "Bacterial small subunit ribosomal RNA", at positions 165 to 422 of the family's 1533-position model. The record is from RNAcentral.